Molecule: long non-coding RNA, 754 nt
Organism: Callorhinchus milii (elephant shark)
Lineage: Eukaryota; Metazoa; Chordata; Chondrichthyes; Chimaeriformes; Callorhinchidae
Exons: 3
Source: RefSeq, a predicted model, not a curated record
UCUGGGCCUUAAAGGAGCAGAGUUACCAUCGCUGGGGCUAAAAAUAGAACCAGCUGGAAAUACGCAACAGGAUACUAAGCACCAGUGAAGCCCUUGAGUGGGUCAGAUGGAAUAAUGAGCGUUUCAAGUGAGCCUGGUGAUGGGACCAAUUGCUCACAAUCCAACACUGCUGACGUGAGCCAGUCUGGAUGCAGCAAGCAUCAGAGACGUGACUUUCCUGAGGCCAGAGAACACAUCAAAAGCAACCGAGAACAUUUAUUGCCAAUGGGCUCCACAAAACUCUUGAGCGCGGUGCAAAUUUUCCACUAACUUAUUAAUGCCACCUGCUUUGCGAUGAACACAAGAAGAUCAGUUAUAAGGGGCGGUGACUUAGCAAUACAAAUAGAGGACGAGCGAAUUAAUUACACGGAAUGCUGGACCGAGCUCGCAGUGGAUGAAGGCGAGAGGUGGAAUAAAUCCGAGGGAAACCUGGGCCUGUGAAACAUCGAGCUACACGCGUCCUUCAGCACAUCCAGUGGCUGCAAAUAAACUUAUUUGGCAAUUUUUUCCCGAAGAUUUAAAGUAGAAAGUUCCCUGCUUUGUCUACUGAACAGACUGUCUAAACUCUUACUCUUUGACACCAGUGUAUCUUUCCUCCGAACCUCGUGAUCUCCCACCGCAGGGAUCAAGGCUGAAAAAUAUGAAUGAUGUCUCCAAGCUCCACAGGCAUUGUUGGUACCCGCAGAAUCCGCUUUGCGUUCCUGUCACUAUUAGU